CGAGUUGACCACUGUCUCGACCAGGAGCUCAGUGAAAUUGUAGUGCCGGUGAAGAUGCCGGCUACCCGCAGAAGGACGGAAAGACCCUAUAGACCUUAACUGUAAGCUGUUACUGGUUAUUUGAUUUUAAUGCUCAGCAUAAGUGGGAGACUUUGAAGCGGUGUUUUAGGACACCGUGGAGUCGCCAGUGAGAUACCACCCUUUGACAUUGGAUAAUCUAACCCCGAGCCGUCAUCCGGCCGGGGGACCGUGGCAGCCGGUCAGUUUUACUGGGGCGGUAUCCUCCUAAAGAGUAACGGAGGAGCGCGAAGUUUGGCUCAGCACGGUCGGCAACCGUGUGUCGAGUGUAAAGGCAUAAGCCAGACUAACUGUGAGACCCACAAGUCGAGCAGAUACGAAAGUAGGCCUUAGUGAUCCGGCGGUAGAAAGUGGAAUUGCCGUCGCUCAACGGAUAAAAGGUACCUUAGGGAUAACAGGCUGAUCGCGCCCAAGAGUUCAUAUCGAC
RNAcentral lists this ribosomal RNA (505 nucleotides) under Pseudomonadales bacterium. Its description in RNAcentral is "partial 23S ribosomal RNA". It matches the Rfam family "Bacterial large subunit ribosomal RNA", at positions 2005 to 2509 of the family's 2925-position model. Lineage: Bacteria; Pseudomonadati; Pseudomonadota; Gammaproteobacteria; Pseudomonadales. The record is from RNAcentral.